RNAcentral lists this ribosomal RNA (253 nucleotides) under uncultured bacterium. RNAcentral's name for it is "partial 16S ribosomal RNA". It matches the Rfam family "Bacterial small subunit ribosomal RNA", at positions 524 to 776 of the family's 1533-position model. The record is from RNAcentral.
UACGGAGGGUGCGAGCGUUAUCCGGAUUCACUGGGUUGAAAGGGUGCGUAGGUGGGAAUGUAAGUCAGUGGUGAAAUCUCCGUGCUUAACACGGAAACUGCCAUUGAUACUAUGUUUCUUGAAUUUUCUGGAGGUUAGCGGAAUAUGUCAUGUAGCGGUGAAAUGCUUAGUUAUGACAUAGAACACGGAUUGCGAAGGCAGCUAACUACAGGGAUAUUGACACUGAGGCACGAAAGCGUGGGGAUCAAACAGG